This 240-nucleotide ribosomal RNA is filed under the name uncultured bacterium. RNAcentral's name for it is "partial 16S ribosomal RNA". It matches the Rfam family "Bacterial small subunit ribosomal RNA", at positions 15 to 236 of the family's 1533-position model. The record is from RNAcentral.
GAUCCUGGCUCAGGAUGAACGCUGGCGGCGUGCCUAACACAUGCAAGUCGAGCGAAGCGUUUUAAAGGAAGUUUUCGGAUGGAAUUUGAAAUGACUGAGCGGCGGACGGGUGAGUAACGCGUGGGUAACCUGCCUCAUACAGGGGGGAUAACAGUUAGAAAUGACUGCUAAUACCGCAUAAGCACACAGUACCGCAUGGUACAGAGUGAAAAACUCCGGUGGUAUGAGAUGGACCCGCGU